Dicentrarchus labrax (European seabass) is the source of this 1997-nucleotide long non-coding RNA. RefSeq lists it as uncharacterized. The transcript has 6 exons. NCBI's taxonomy places the organism in Eukaryota, Metazoa, Chordata, Actinopteri, Moronidae. The record is from RefSeq and is a predicted model, not a curated record.
UGUACUUUAGCGGUUGUACUUUAGGUGUUGUACUUUAGGUGCUGUGUACUUUAAGUGUUGUGUACUUUAGGUGUUGUGUACUUUAGGUGCUGUGUACUUUAGGUGCUGUGUACUUUAGGUGUUGUGUACUUUAGGUGCUGUGUACUUUAGGUGCUGUGUACUUUAGGUGCUGUGUACUUUAGGUGUUGUGUACUUUAGGUGCUGUGUACUUUAGGUGUUGUGUACUUCAGGUGUUGUACUUUAGGUGCUGUGUACUUUAGGUGUUGUGUACUUUAGGUGCUGUGUGCUUUAGGUGUUGUGUACUUUAGGUGUUGUGUACUUUAGGUGCUGUGUACUUUAGGUGCUGUGUACUUUAGGUGCUGUGUACUUUAGGUGUUGCACUUUAGGUGUUGUACUUUAGGUGCUGUGUACUUUAGGUGUUGUUCUUUAGGUGUUGUACUUUAGGUGCUGUGUACUUUAGGUGCUGUGUACUUUAGGUGCUGUGUACUUUAGGUGCUGUGUACUUUAGGUGUUGUGUACUUUAGGUGCUGUGUACUUUAGGUGCUGUGUACUUUAGGUGUUGUACUUUAGGUGCUGUGUACUUUAGGUGCUGUGUACUUUAGGUGUUGUGUACUUUAGGUGCUGUGUACUUUAGGUGUUGUACUUUAGGUGUUGUGUACUUUAGGUGCUGUUUACUUUAGGUGUUGUACUUUAGGUGCUGUGUACUUUAGGUGUUGUGUACUUUAGGUGCUGUGUACUUUAGGUGCUGUGUACUUUAGGUGUUGUGUACUUUAGGUGCUGUGUACUUUAGGUGCUGUGUACUUUAGGUGCUGUGUACUUUAGGUGCUGUGUACUUUAGGUGUUGUGUACUUUAGGUGUUGUACUUUAGGUGUUGUGUACUUUAGGUGCUGUGUACUUUAGGUGCUGUGUACUUUAGGUGCUGUGUACUUUAGGUGUUGUGUACUUUAGGUGCUGUGUACUUUAGGUGUUGUGUACUUCAGGUGUUGUACUUUAGGUGCUGUGUACUUUAGGUGUUGUGUACUUUAGGUGCUGUGUGCUUUAGGUGUUGUGUACUUUAGGUGUUGUGUACUUUAGGUGCUGUGUACUUUAGGUGCUGUGUACUUUAGGUGCUGUGUACUUUAGGUGCUGUGUACUUUAGGUGUUGCACUUUAGGUGUUGUACUUUAGGUGCUGUGUACUUUAGGUGUUGUUCUUUAGGUGUUGUACUUUAGGUGCUGUGUACUUUAGGUGCUGUGUACUUUAGGUGCUGUGUACUUUAGGUGUUGUGUACUUUAGGUGCUGUGUACUUUAGGUGUUGUACUGUAGGUGUUGUACUGUCGGUGCUGUGUACUUUAGGUGUUGUGUACUUUAGGUGCUGUGUACUUUAGGUGCUGUGUACUUUAGGUGUUGUGUACUUUAGGUGUUGUGUACUUUAAGUGUUGUGUACUUUAGGUGCUGUGUACUUUAGGUGUUGUACUUUAGGUGCUGUGUACUUUAGGUGCUGUGUACUUUAGGUGCUGUGUACUUUAGGUGUUGUGUACUUUAGGUGUUGUGUACUUUAGGUGUUGUGUACUUUAAGUGUUGUGUACUUUAGGUGCUGUGUACUUUAGGUGUUGUGUACUUUAGGUGCUGUGUACUUUAGGUGCUGUGUACUUUAGGUGUUGUGUACUUUAGGUGCUGUGAACUUUAGGUGUUGUGUACUUUAGGUGCUGUGUACUUUAGGUGCUGUGUACUUUAGGUGUUGACUUUAGGUGUUGUACUUUAGGUGCUGUGUACUUUAGGUGUUGACUUUAGGUGUUGUACUUUAGGUGCUGUGUACUUUAGGUGUUGACUUUAGGUGUUGUACUUAAGGUGUUGUGUACUUUAGGUGUUGUGUACUUCAGGUGCUGUGUAUUUAGGUGCUGUGUACUUUAGGUGUUGUGUACUUUAGGUGUUGUGUACUUCAGGUGCUGUGUAUUUAGGUGCUGUGUACUUUAGGUGUUGUGUAUUUAGGUGCUGUGUACUAUAGCUACCUGUACA